Molecule: ribosomal RNA, 253 nt
Filed under: uncultured bacterium
Lineage: Bacteria
Description: partial 16S ribosomal RNA
Rfam family: Bacterial small subunit ribosomal RNA
Source: RNAcentral
UACGGGGGGGGCAAGCGUUGUUCGGAAUUACUGGGCGUAAAGGGCUCGUAGGUGGCCAACUAAGUCAGACGUGAAAUCCCUCGGCUUAACCGGGGAACUGCAUCUGAUACUGGAUGGCUUGAGUUUGGGAGAGGGACGCGGAAUUCCAGGUGUAGCGGUGAAAUGCGUAGAUAUCGGGAGGAACACCUGUGGCGAAAGCGGCGCACUGGACCAUAACUGACGCUGAUGCGCGAAAGCUAGGGGAGCAAACAGG